Molecule: unclassified non-coding RNA, 246 nt
Filed under: Hevea brasiliensis (rubber tree)
Lineage: Eukaryota; Viridiplantae; Streptophyta; Magnoliopsida; Malpighiales; Euphorbiaceae
Source: RNAcentral
GCCCAAUGACGUUGUCCAACUCCAAUAGUAAUUGCAACCAACUUGGGAUUCCAAUUUGGAGGCUUGGGUUUGAACCACUGGGAUGGGGAGACCUCCCCCUCCUCUCUCCCAAAUUGUAUAGCUCUGUUGGACUUAAAAACACAUAGUUUGUCAAGCUGUCAAAAGUUAAUGAUAGUCUUUUGUUAAUCUUAUGUUUAAUGUAUUACAGAAAUUUAUUUUAGUCUCUCCUUCCUUCCCUCCUGCAAA